CACACGGAUAGUCCGUUUUCGUUAAACUAUAGGCUGCGGCCAGCUCGCAGCGUGAUCGGCGUGGUCUGUGAGAAGUGCCGAGCCUUUUCGCACUCGCAACAGGGCAGAAAAAAGUGCGAAUCGACGCAAAACUCGGCCUAGAAACGUGCUUCGCCACAUCCAGGGCUCAAUACGACCCAAGCAGGUACGACCCAGAUGUCGUUUCCCGCGGCGCCACCAGGCGCCGCUACUAUACCUCAAACUCCUGCGCAAGACGCCCAUGUUUCUUGAUUUGUUUUUUUUUUUUUCGUUGCUGUAUGUCCGCCGCGUAACUAAUGGUAUCUUCGACUGGUCGCCCCCGUCUCGGCAGAUCCAGCGUUUCCCGAACUCAGAGGUACAGAGGCACGGAGGAAGGCAAAAUAUAGGGAGGAGCAUUACGUCACGCAGCCAGCCUAGGCAAGCGAACGCUUCGUGAAGCCGCAGUGGCGGUCCAAGACGUGACCUCUUGCGUCGAGACCACGGAGCAAGAAUCGAGAUUUGCUGAUAAGUUUGGUUCCCAGUAUAGCUAUGCUAGUAAUUUUUAUUCGGAGCGCGCUUGUUCAGCUGCUUUGCCGUGGCUCUGCCUGCAGAGCGGGAACAGUAGAACGAACCGCGCACUUUAACGUGAGAUCACUUGUUGGGCCACCACUGGCUCAGCACAUUUAGGCUUCAAUCGCGUUGCGGUAUGCUCCCUCCUCUUGUUUCCUUCCUCCAUGUAGAGAGGACAAGCGGGUAAGCCUAACGUGCGACUCGCCCUCGGAGGAGGAAAUAUGGCAGAUGCAUAACCACGGGACUACUGCCAACGUCCGAUGUUUCGCCUAUCCGAAGAACCGGUGGUCGCGCCGGUGGGACGAGCGUUCGUCGAGACACCAGCAUGCAGUGGCCUAUAGGUUGCCUAGGUUAUACGACGGACCGUCGCCAACAACGGCGACGCUGUGCUAUGACGACCUUGCGGGAAACCGUUCAAUCCCAACGACCGCUCCCGACGACAGGGCUCGGAGCGCCUCAGAGCGCUCGAAGAUGGAGGAGAGCAAUCGAAAAGGGCCAGCCGAACGCAUGCCACGCACCCUCUUUCAACCAGCCGAAGACAACGCCGCUCGCGAAAGUGGUCUAGAGCGCUCCGAAACGGCCAGCCGAUGAUGCCAUAAAUUAAGUUUCAGAGCAUAGAGAGGCAUGGAAUUCUUUAGCUUGCGAGGCAACCACAUGGGACGCAUUUCCGGUGGAUGUUAGGGAUGGCGGUCCCCCGGCGCCAGCUCUUCCAUGUCGUGCUGCGCUAUAACCAAGCGUUUAAGGAGGCCCAAAUAGAAAUCACUAGAUCAAGGAGAUCUAACCUCGUGGCAUACAACAUAGCGGCUGGAAUAUUACGUAGACGCCGGACGAUGCGUCAUAGAAAUGUUCCACGCACUUCUGGAUUCGGCCGUUGUUGUGCUGCACGCGAGUCACAUUCCACUUGCGUUGCUUAUUUCGAUGCCUAUUCAGCAGUGUGUCAAGAGGCGUGCGCUGUACAGGGAUGUCACUGUUAAUUCUUUUUGGCAGUUCUAUCUCUUUCUUUAACCUGUUGUCCGAAUAAAAGUCAAUCCAAUCCAAUGUGGUUGCCAAUUAAACCACUCAAUACGAAACUCAACAAGCCUUUUUAAGAAUGCAAUGUACCUUUUUACGUGAACUAGGAAUCUUCGCCACGAUUUCGUCACAACGAGGCUGGCGUAUGCGCGUGCACGCCAGCAGUUACGAGUGGCGUUAAAUCCCAGUUGCAAGAUGUGCUCAUUCCGCUUCACCUUUUUUUUUUUUUUAACCUGAUGAGCGUCUUUUCACCGCCCUAUUCAUGGCCGAUCCCCCAGACUGGGUUGCGCCGUUUCACUAGGGAACACGAACAAGAGCCGGCGUCCACUGAGAGAACGCAUCGCGGAUUACGCGACGUGCUCGCCCAGGAGAAACAAGGCGCGCGCUAUGAAUGGAACAGCGGGGCCAGUGGGUGUCAAGACUCCGAAGUGCAUAGGCUUCGGCCAGAGCGACUGCGGUAUGUGGCCAGUGUCGUUUGCUGCACCGUCGUAACUUAGUGCAGUCACUAUCGGAAGCCUGUCAUCCCGGAGCGAUCGUCAAACAACCCACUAGGGCAAGAAACUAUAUAGAUUACGUGGUGAGCUGCACCGCAAGGCUGCAAUCGGCAGUUUAAAAAAGAGGAGAGAGAGAGAAUAUAUGUACAUAUAUAUAAGAAGAAGAGACAAAUAGACGGAAAACAAAGAAAGAAGCAAAUGAUUCAAUAAAUUUUACAACUGAAAGCUCA
Molecule: long non-coding RNA, 2302 nt
Organism: Dermacentor andersoni
Lineage: Eukaryota; Metazoa; Arthropoda; Arachnida; Ixodida; Ixodidae
Source: RefSeq, a predicted model, not a curated record